This is a non-coding RNA of Triticum urartu, 115 nucleotides long. NCBI's taxonomy places the organism in Eukaryota, Viridiplantae, Streptophyta, Magnoliopsida, Poales, Poaceae. The record is from Rfam.
CAAGUACUCCCUCCGUCCGGAAUUACUUGUCAUAAAAAUGGAUGUGUCAAGAACUAAAAUACAUCUAGAUACAUCCAUUUCAAUGACAAGUAUUUUCGGACGGAGGGAGUACAAG